This 253-nucleotide ribosomal RNA is filed under the name uncultured bacterium. Its description in RNAcentral is "partial 16S ribosomal RNA". It matches the Rfam family "Bacterial small subunit ribosomal RNA", at positions 524 to 776 of the family's 1533-position model. The record is from RNAcentral.
UACGUAGGGGGCGAGCGUUGUCCGGAGUUACUGGGCGUAAAGCGCACGCAGGCGGUCUGCUAAGUUUGGAGUGACAGUUGGUGGCUUAACUGCCAAAGUGCUUCGAAAACUGACAGACUUGAGGGCUCCAGAGGGACACGGAAUUCCGGGUGGAGUGGUGAAAUGCGUAGAGAUCCGGAGGAACACCAAAGGCGAAGGCAGUGUCCUGGGGAGUACCUGACGCUCAGGUGCGAAAGCCAGGGGAGCGAACGGG